CUGUUGCUUCUACAAGACCCAGCCUCCCCAGGCAGCGCACUUUGUUCCUUCGCUUCUAAGUCACCCUGAGAGACCAUGUUUGUGUCGUUGUGGGUGUGAUCCUCAUCUUUGUCUUCAUGAAACGAGAGCCUACAUGCUUUCACUCUUCCAGGCUGGAGUGCAAUGGCGCGAUCUCAGCUUACUGCGACCUCCGGCUCCCGGUUUCAAGCGAUUCUCCUGCCUCAGCCUCCCGAGUAGCCGGGAUUGCAGGCGCCUGCCACCACCCUGGCUAAUUUUUUGUAUUUUUAGUAAAGACGGGAUUUCACCAUGUUGGCCAGGCUGGUCUCGAACUCCUGACCUCAGGGGAUCCACCCGCCUCGGCCUCCCAAAAUGCUGGGAUUAGAGGCGUGACCCGCCGCCCCCGGCCGCUUUCACUAUUUCUAAGCCCUUUCCCUGCGGUGUGUUGGUAAAGCGGAACCCUGCAGCCAGGGGUCAAUUCUAGUUUCUAAGUAUAGCGGGAGUCGCUUCUGAACGAAGUUUGUUCUGCUUUGUUUGGUUUUUAACGACGCGUUGUGCUCGGAAUACACAGUUCCGCGCAACUCAGAAUUCCUCAGGUGCAUUUUCAACACCUACAAUGUGCCUGACGCAGGGCCAGGUCCUGGGACUACAGACAUGAAAUAUCCAGUCUUUGAGGAGUCCAUUUUCUUCCAGGAAGCAAUAUUUUAAAUUUGGAAGUGAUUGGCCAUUCCCCAAUCCCCACUUCCAAACCAAACGCACGAAACACUACUGAAUAUGAUCAAUACUGCCUUUGUGUUUAAUUUCCUCUCCUGGGUAGUCAGCCGCCAAACCAGUGAGCAAUUAUUAGGCGCUUGGCACGUGCCAGCGCUGUGAAUCCAGUGGGCAGAUACUGUUAGACUGGAGCCAAAUGAAAACAGAACCACAUCUUGAAAGGGCUGAAAGACAACUUGCUACCCAUAUUUCUAUAUUCAAUGAAAGGCUCUUCCAGAAUGAAGACAAAAUGAUGACAUUCAGAGCUAAACAAAAACUAACAGAACUCAUCACCAGAAGACUCAUACUUGAAGAAAUGUUACAGAAAGUUACUCAUGUCGAAGAAAAAUGAUAUCAGAUGGAAAAUUUAGAUGUUCUAGAAGGAAUGAAGAACACUGAAAAUGAUAUAAUGCGUAUGACAACUAAAGAAUGAAGGAUGAAGAGAGAAGAGGUGGCUGCUGGGUAAGGCCACCUGUAUGAGUCUAACAGUCUGCAAGGUUCUUACAUUUUCCAUGAAGUGCUACAAUAUUAAUGCUAAGUGGACAAAAAAAAUUAAGAAUGUGUGUAUUGUAAUUCCUAAGCAAUGACUAAAAAUAGUUGAAAGAAAUAUAGGUAAAAUGAUAACAUACAAAUUACAAUGGAAUUCCAAAAUCUCUUUUUUUC
Molecule: long non-coding RNA, 1410 nt
Filed under: Homo sapiens (human)
Lineage: Eukaryota; Metazoa; Chordata; Mammalia; Primates; Hominidae
Description: HSALNT0336962
Source: RNAcentral